UUUACAUACCUACAUUGUUUGGGGGUAUAGAUUCUCUUUAAGUGACUUUUCCAGGGUCACAAGGAGUUGUCACAAGCAACCGAACUAGGGUCUCUAGCAUGAGAUCCUACAGCAAAGGCUGCUCACCUAACCUCUAGGUUAAUAAUAUUAGGAAAGGGCAAGUUUGCAUGCAUUGCUGUGUCUGUAACUGUUGCAAUUAAACAGUUCUACUCUGUGCUGUGGCCUGUUAAAUGUAAUAGACUGUUUUCUUUGCUUUUUAUAUUCAGAUGCACCUGAUCCUACAACUGCACCGGCUGAUUCUGAUACUAAACCUACAUCUGCAGCUUGUGGCACACAUUCAUCCUGGACUGUGCUAUUAAUGCUCACAUCAGUUGUCAUGUUUUUUGGAAAGCCGUGACCUUCUGAACUGGAUUUAAAGAACCUAAAGACCAAUGCACUGCAGUAAUCUUCGGCUUUCAUCAAACAAUGAUAAUGUAGGUCUCUUUAAAAAUCUAUAACGGCUCAUAUGCAAAAUCCUGCUUCAUACAAAUAAGCCAUUUUUAUAGAAAUAUACCUUUUUAGCAGUCUGUGUCGUUGGUUAAUCCUAAAUAGAAUACUGUCAUUUUAAGUACUAAGGGCCACCCCCUGGGAUAAUAUGAUUCAUGUGGCAUGCAUAAAUGUUAAGUCAUUGGCCAAUUAAUGGUCAAAUUCCUGUCUUUUACCCCCGCCCCAUGACUUCCUGUUGCAGUUAGAGCUGCAUUACUUCCUGCCAGGUGAUCUCUAAACCCAGCCCAGCACAAAA
Molecule: long non-coding RNA, 781 nt
Organism: Xenopus tropicalis (tropical clawed frog)
Lineage: Eukaryota; Metazoa; Chordata; Amphibia; Anura; Pipidae
Exons: 3
Source: RefSeq, a predicted model, not a curated record